AGCUCCAAUAGCGUAUAUUAAAUUUGUUGCAGUUAAAAAGCUCGUAGUUGAAUUUCAGGCGACUCUUGCCAGUGGUCUGCCUAAUGGGUAUGUACUGCUGGCAAUCGCCUAAAUUUUCUGGGGGAACUCUUGGCAUUCGCCAGGGGCAGAACCAGAGACAUACCGUGAAUAAAUCAGAGUGUUUAAAGCAGGCUUUUAAGCUUGAAUGCAUUAGCAUGGAAUAAUAGAAUAGGACAUUUGGUUCUAUUUUGUUGGUUUGAGAACCAAUGUAAUGAUUAAUAGGGACAGUUGGGGGCAUUAGUAUUUCGUGGUCAGAGGUGAAAUUCUUGGACCCACGAAAGACUAACUUCUGCGAAAGCAUUUGCCAAAGAUGUUUUCA
RNAcentral lists this ribosomal RNA (379 nucleotides) under uncultured eukaryote. RNAcentral's name for it is "SSU rRNA". It matches the Rfam family "Eukaryotic small subunit ribosomal RNA", at positions 587 to 972 of the family's 1831-position model. The record is from RNAcentral.